This 377-nucleotide ribosomal RNA is filed under the name uncultured bacterium. RNAcentral describes it as "bacterial SSU rRNA". It matches the Rfam family "Bacterial small subunit ribosomal RNA", at positions 523 to 900 of the family's 1533-position model. The record is from RNAcentral.
AUACGAACCGUGCGAACGUUGUUCGGAAUCACUGGGCUUAAAGGGUGCGUAGGCGGGGUGGCAAGUCCGUGGUGAAAUCCUCCGGCUCAACCGGAGAACUGCCGUGGAUACUGCUACUCUCGAGGGGUGUAGGGGCAUGUGGAACUCAGGGUGGAGCGGUGAAAUGCGUAGAUAUCCUGAGGAACGCCGGUGGCGAAAGCGACGUGCUGGACACCUACUGACGCUGAGGCACGAAAGCCAGGGGAGCGAACGGGAUUAGAUACCCCGGUAGUCCUGGCCCUAAACGAUGGGUACUAGAUUGUGGGCUGGACAUGGGCCACAGUCGAAGCAAAAGUGAUAAGUACCCCGCCUGGGGAGUAUGGUCGCAAGGCUGAAAC